Polyodon spathula (Mississippi paddlefish) is the source of this 3752-nucleotide RNA transcript. It is a transcript of the gene named solute carrier family 35 member 2, with no coding region annotated. The transcript is spliced from 6 exons. Lineage: Eukaryota; Metazoa; Chordata; Actinopteri; Acipenseriformes; Polyodontidae. The record is from RefSeq and is a predicted model, not a curated record.
AGUGCGGGCCUUGAGCCCCGGCAUUGCCUGACAGCCUCCACCGAGGUGUGGAGUCACUGCCUCGGCGAAGUAGGUGACGGGUGUUUGCCUGUGGAGGGGCGUGUAAAGGAGGGGAAAAAAAAAAACCAAUACAGUGUAUAUAUAUAUAUAUAUAUAUAUAUAUAUAUAUAAGGUGAAUGGGAAAACCGCCGAGCCAGAUCUGGGACUGGGGAGAAGGAUACUACAGAAAUAACGAUUGCAAACAUGGCAGCUAGCAGCCAGGCGUCGGGAUCUGGCACAGGGGCUGGGAAGACAGGAGCUGCCGGGACCAGGAGACAAAAUGAGGCCAAUAAGAAGCUGAAGUACGUCAGCCUGGCUGUGCUGGUUGUGCAGAACGCCUCCCUCAUCCUGAGUAUCCGUUACGCACGCACCCUCCCCGGGGAGAGGUUCUUCGCCACCACGGCCGUGGUCAUGGCUGAGCUGUUGAAGGUCGCCACCUGCCUGUUGUUGAUCCUGCUCCAGAAGAGAGGGAAUCUGAAGGAGUUUUUGGUGUUGCUGUACGAAUCGAUCUUCAUUCAGUACUCGGACACGCUGAAACUGUCUGUGCCCUCUCUCAUCUACACCCUUCAAAACAACCUGCAGUACGUGGCGAUCUCCAACCUGCCCGCGGCCACCUUCCAGGUCACCUACCAGCUGAAGAUCUUGACCACGGCCGUAUUCUCCGUCCUGAUGCUCCGCAAGAGCCUGUCCAGGCUGCAGUGGAUCUCCCUCCUGCUCCUCUUCACCGGAGUGGCGAUCGUCCAAGUGGAGCAAGAAGGGGGGCGGAAGGAGGCCUCGGUGGAAAACGGCAGCCAGAACUACGCCAAGGGACUGGCGGCCGUUGUCGUUUCCUGCCUGUCUUCCGGCUUCGCGGGCGUCUAUUUCGAGAAGAUCCUCAAAGGCAGUUCGGCUUCAGUCUGGAUGCGUAACAUCCAGUUGGGGAUCUUCGGGGGCGCCCUGGGGCUUUUGGGGAUGUGGUGGAACGACGGGGCAGCCGUUGGGGAGAAGGGCUUCUUUUUCGGGUACACGCCGUUGGUUUGGGGGGUGAUCUUCAACCAGGCCUUCGGGGGCUUGCUGGUGGCGGUGGUGGUGAAGUACGCGGACAAUAUCCUGAAGGGUUUCGCCACCUCGUUCUCGAUUGUCGUCUCCACGGUCACCUCGGUGUACCUCUUUGGCUUUCACGUGGAUCUGCUCUUCGCCCUCGGGGCGGGGUUGGUGAUCGGAGCAGUUUACAUGUACAGCCUCCCGAAGGGUGCGUCCGGUCUGCCUCCCGGGUUGCUGCCUUCCUCCCCCUCCUCUUCCCCGUCGUCUUCCGCCGGGGCAGUUUCCUCCAGGGUCAGGAACCAGAUGCCGGUGGGGGUGGAUUCCGAGACAGACCCUUUCCUGGCCAAAAAACCAACCAAGGAAAAGGGAUGCUAGCGAUUGGCUGGGGACCAGAAAAGUGGGCGGGGCUCGCCUGAAGAUUCGUCUCUGUGACCAAACGGUGCCUUCGCGCUACAGUGCUGCUGUGGCUGCCAGCUUAAACUGGGAUAAUUUAAAGACCAGCUUUAGUUUUCUCUGCUCCACCAGUAGAGGGUAGAGGGAAGUUUUUUUUUUUCUUUUUUCCAAAAGCAGGCAGGUAGCCCGUCGUUGAACAGCUCUGUUGGAAAAGGAAUGGACUUCAGAGCAGCUUUGAUCGCCACCUUGAUUUCUGGGUUUUGCAACUGGUUCCUGGCCUCACAAGUUGCUUCACUGAAGGUAGUUGGUUUUUUUUCUCUGGAGUUUGAAUACUAGGGUGAUUUGUGGAAGCUAACUUACCCAAGGGGGGUGUCUCCUCUCCUCAACUGUCAUUGAGUCUCCAAAAUACUGGAACAAGUUUGGAGUGUCUUUGCAGCUUCCGGAAUCUGACAUGGAAGAGAAAUGUUCUAUGGAUCAUCUUCCAGCUUUCCAGCUUCGUCCUGUGGAGAUAACGUAGUUUUGGUCUUGAUUGUCACGGUCACAGGAGAAGAAAAGGGGGAAAGUAUCUCUAGAAAAGACGGUGCUUCUUCAUCUUCUUAGUUUUUCCAGAUUGCCUUCAGGGAAAUGUAAUCCUGGAUCGAACUUCCUUAGUUCUGGAUCCAGUAUUUCGGGGGGAAAAAAAAGAUGGAUUAUACCAGAUCUAAUGUUCUCCGAGAUAGGAAAACUGCGCGACUAGAGAAGAAUUUUCACAAGACUGGAACAGUGGAGACCCCCUGGUAUCACACUGCAAUGGGGAGGUGAGGGGGUAUCAAAUCUACCCAUACUUCUGUUAUUAGAGUGUGUGUGUGUGUGUGUGUGUGUGUGGACGUGUGUUUUGUCAAAAGGGUCCCUUAGCAACCACUAAGCUUCUAGAUCCUCACCCUGUCGGUUCUAGAACACCAUGGAGUCUGGGAAUUGUGGGUAGAUAACAUGAUUUAUUUUUAAGUUAUCGUCUAUAUCACUGUGGGUAUCAACAAGUGCCACUUGAUUUCAACAUUAGCAAUGAUUUCCACUCGCCUCAGCGUCUGUGCAAGAUACAAACAUGAAAGGUUUACAUAUGAAAAGUAAGCAGCUGUACAGUAUUGAAAUAUUAUAAAUAUAUAGUAUUUGUAUAGAUAGAUAGAUUACAAUGUGAUGUAACAUACCAAAGUCCGUUGAAAAGAAUUUGAAUUCAUUAACGCAAUUCUGAUCAAUGCUAUACCUGAAUACCAAGGCAAAACAGGCCUGUUGUUUUUCUGUCCUGGUUGUAAUGUGUGGCAAUGCCAAGAAUAAAUCAAUACGAAACUAAGAUUGUAUUGAAAUGUUUCUAAUUGCAAUCAGAACAAACGUUGUCUGAAUAACUGAAGUAAAAAAAAAAAACAAAGAAAGAAAGAAAUAAUUUUUUAAUUUGUAAACCGCAGCGCUGUGAACGACAUUUUGGCUCAGCAGCUUCAUCCUUUACUAUACGAUACAGCGACCUUGUCCGAGCCACGAUGGCGCCCUUUUUCGACUGCUGCUGCUGCAAACCAAGCUGAAUUUUUAUCAUUUGCUUAUUUGUUUAUUUUUCUACGACUUGUACGCGUUUUUUUUUUUAAAGGACUGUAUAUUUUUUUUUUUGUGUGUGUGUGGAUUCCAGGAAUAGAGGGGAAUGAGAGAGUGGAUCAGUUAGCAAUAGCAGUAAAGAAGGCCUGUGUGGGUGGGAUAGAGACAGUAGUCAGUAUGAGGGAAGGAAAGUAUGGAUACAACAGACAGGAGAAAGUUAGUUUUAAUAAGGCUGUUGAGAGGACAUUCAACUUAAAAUGAACAUUUCUGCAGAAUCGGAGGGCAUGAGAAUGGCUUCAGUAUGCCCUGUGGGGUUAUGGAAACUGGAAGAUAAGAUGGUUGAAUGUGCUAGAUAUAGAUAGGGAAGUGAGAUUGGAGUUAGGGCAAGAGGUAAGGGCUUUAAAUGCGCAAAAUAGUUUCUUUAGGGACGGUGUAGGAGAUGGGAAUAGACUAGGGAGGGGUAUAGGGAGAUUGCAAUAAAAUGGUGCGCUCAUAAUAAUGGAAUUUAAAAAAAAAAAACUCCACACACACACUCAAUAGGGGGCGACAGGAAACUUUGUUUGAAAGCUUGUUGGCCAUUAACACACACACACAAAAAAAAACUCCCCAGGAGAAGACUUGCCCACUUCCCGUGCUGUGUCAGAGUUGAAGGGUCGGUGUUUGUGUUGAUGUGUUGCUGGAGAGUGUCCCCAGGAACUGAAGCUGAAGAGACCAAAAAAAAAAAAAAAAAAAAAAUU